Molecule: ribosomal RNA, 253 nt
Filed under: uncultured bacterium
Lineage: Bacteria
Description: partial 16S ribosomal RNA
Rfam family: Bacterial small subunit ribosomal RNA
Source: RNAcentral
UACGGAGGGGGCUAGCGUUGUUCGGAAUUACUGGGCGUAAAGCACACGUAGGCGGCUUUGUAAGUUAGAGGUGAAAGCCCGGGGCUCAACUCCGGAAUUGCCUUUAAGACUGCAUCGCUAGAAUUGUGGAGAGGUAAGUGGAAUUCCGAGUGUAGAGGUGAAAUUCGUAGAUAUUCGGAAGAACACCAGUGGCGAAGGCGACUUACUGGACACAUAUUGACGCUGAGGAGCGAAAGCGUGGGUAGCAAACAGG